This 650-nucleotide ribosomal RNA is filed under the name uncultured bacterium. RNAcentral describes it as "bacterial SSU rRNA". It matches the Rfam family "Bacterial small subunit ribosomal RNA", at positions 69 to 765 of the family's 1533-position model. The record is from RNAcentral.
AAGGCUUCGGCCUUAGUGGCGCACGGGUGCGUAACGCGUGGGAAUCUGCCCUUGGGUUCGGAAUAACAGUUAGAAAUGACUGCUAAUACCGGAUGAUGUCGAAAGACCAAAGAUUUAUCGCCCAAGGAUGAGCCCGCGUAAGAUUAGCUAGUUGGUAAGGUAAAAGCUUACCAAGGCGACGAUCUUUAGCUGGUCUGAGAGGAUGAUCAGCCACACUGGGACUGAGACACGGCCCAGACUCCUACGGGAGGCAGCAGUGGGGAAUAUUGGACAAUGGGCGAAAGCCUGAUCCAGCAAUGCCGCGUGAGUGAUGAAGGCCUUAGGGUUGUAAAGCUCUUUUACCCGGGAUGAUAAUGACAGUACCGGGAGAAUAAGCUCCGGCUAACUCCGUGCCAGCAGCCGCGGUAAUACGGAGGGAGCUAGCGUUAUUCGGAAUUACUGGGCGUAAAGCGCACGUAGGCGGCUUUGUAAGUAAGAGGUGAAAGCCUGGAGCUCAACUCCAGAAUUGCCUUUUAGACUGCAUCGCUUGAAUCCAGGAGAGGUGAGUGGAAUUCCGAGUGUAGAGGUGAAAUUCGUAGAUAUUCGGAAGAACACCAGUGGCGAAGGCGGCUCACUGGACUGGUAUUGACGCUGAGGUGCGAAAGCGUGGG